Molecule: transfer RNA, 72 nt
Filed under: Bos taurus (domestic cattle)
Lineage: Eukaryota; Metazoa; Chordata; Mammalia; Artiodactyla; Bovidae
Rfam family: tRNA
About the family: Transfer RNA (tRNA) molecules are approximately 80 nucleotides in length. Their secondary structure includes four short double-helical elements and three loops (D, anti-codon, and T loops). Further hydrogen bonds mediate the characteristic L-shaped molecular structure. tRNAs have two regions of fundamental functional importance: the anti-codon, which is responsible for specific mRNA codon recognition, and the 3' end, to which the tRNAs corresponding amino acid is attached (by aminoacyl-tRNA synthetases). tRNAs cope with the degeneracy of the genetic code in two manners: having more than one tRNA (with a specific anti-codon) for a particular amino acid; and 'wobble' base-pairing, i.e. permitting non-standard base-pairing at the 3rd anti-codon position.
Source: Rfam by way of RNAcentral
UCCCUGGUGGCUCAGAUGGUAAAGCAUCUGCCUACAAUACAGGAGACCCAGGUUCGAUCUCUGGGUUGGGAA